Long non-coding RNA from Gasterosteus aculeatus aculeatus (three-spined stickleback), 41201 nucleotides. The record is from Ensembl. Lineage: Eukaryota; Metazoa; Chordata; Actinopteri; Perciformes; Gasterosteidae.
UAUUUAUAACCUUUUAUCAUCUCCUCUCAGUUGCCAAACACAUGUGUAUGAUAUGGGUAUGGUGUGUGAUGCGCUGUACAUUAUGUUAAACAGAAGUUUUUACUUACAUUUCCCCAUUCCCUUGUUAAAUGGAUCCUCCAUUUAAUAAAUAAUUCAAAGUACUUCUCAAGCUGAGACGUUGAGCUUAUUGGUUCAAAUUACAGUUCCAAAUGUUCACAGAUUUAGUCAAUGUGCAUGUUAGUAUCAUGACCUGCAUCAAUAAUUGGCAUCCAAUAAGCACAUUUGUCUUCUAAAACAUUCAAGAAUUUUCUUGAUGUUUUCAACAUAUGUAUAUUUCUUUGUGUACAUGGAGCCAUAUCUGGCUAAACACUACAUAAAUUACAUUACGAGUCGUCAACUUUACACAGCUUGGUGAAAAUGUGACAUUUACUACUAAUCGGUUUUCCCUCAUAUCUGCAACCCAUGCAGUAAUUUCCUUAGACGGCCUUCAACUUUGGCUGUCAUAACCUUGGUGAUUCUCCCCGAGUGUCAUAGUUUCUAACCCCCUGCAUGAUCACUCAUGUCUCCCCAUUUACCACCAGCCCCGUGGCGUGGAUCAGCGAAAGUGAGAAGAACCUAGAUAGCCAUGCGUCACUGUGAAGACAAGAAGGAGUUUGCGGCCAUCUCAUGAAACUCCAAGGAGAGUAAAUCCAUUUGCUGCGGCGCUGCUGCUGAUGAUGCAGGUCAUCCGUACAGACCGGACGGCAGUCCCCCUAGAAGCGAAGAGCAGAGGGGAGUGAAGGGUAAGAAAUGGAGCAUGGGAAAAGGGGGAGCAGAAAGGGUGCAUCCAAGCCCCUCUCACACUGAGCUGGGGGACGGCAAGGAGAAAAAAGCCAUAGUGGCUGAUAAAAGAGCCAUUCAGCUGAGAACACCAAGGACCUAAUUGCCAAAGAAAGUCAUGAGAUUGAGCCAGAUCCCAGAGGAGAGACCAAUUGGGAGAUAGAGGGAUAUCUGUAACCGCUUUAUUAACAUAUAUGCAUGACUUAUGUUUAGGAUAUUAUGGUUCAAUUCAGUUCUGCUUUAUGAGUGGGGAAACAUUUGUGGAAAAGUAAAGGGGUAAGAGACAGGCUGGGAGAAUGUUUUAGGGAUUAGAUAACGCCUGUAGACAAUUCGGUAAAUGGCUGGGAUUUCUGUGUCGCAACAAAGUGUGUUUACAUUUUUAAAUCAAAUCCAGAUGGAAAUGGGAUUUUUAGCCUUCAUUGAUGUUAGCCUCUUUGAGCAGCUUUAACUCUUCACAUUUGACUGCCUCUCAUUCAGCAACUUAGAGAAGGCUUUUCACUGUACUUAAAACAAUGUUUAGAAACCCGUUUUUUUUAAAGGAGAAUUUACCCCCGCCCCACCUCUCUCUCUCUCGGAAUAGAAUGGCAGCCAUAGCUUUUAAGAUGUUAUGGUAUCGUCACAGUUCAGUAUAUUCAGUGCACCUGCUAGUCACAUCCAUCCCGUCAGCCCAAUCACUCUCACCUGUCUACCCUACUGCACUCCCCCUUCAGUAUUUAAACCCCAGUCGAACGCUCACUUGCAGCCAGAUCGUUCUUCGCGUCAUGCCAGACUUCCAGGCCUUGCCUCUGCCGCGGAAAACCGCCCUGGCCCUCUGUCCCGCGACCACGAGUAUUGCCUCACCCCCUCUGUUUCCCAUCUGCCGUCUUUAGAAGGUCAACUACGGACUGUGUUUUGUAGGUUAGAGAUUUGUGUAAUGGAGCUCGUCUACACAAUCUACUACCUCGUUCACAUAUUUGCUCGGCCUGGCGCAGUGCGGCGAGGAUGUCUCGGUGCAGUUACCCACAUUUAUCGAGAUAAACACCAGAGUGGACCGUCAUGUCCAGGCAUCACAGAAUUGUCCACGGCCAAAGUUACCGGGGUUCCCGCCAAAGAUUUAGUGCUCAUUGUCACUCAUGCUCUCAAUCUCGACCGGACACUAGUCAACCUAAUGUGUGCAGCGCAGACACCCAGCUGUCGACUUGGCAGAAAAACUACAUUUCUGGCAACUUCCUGUUUUGUACAUGUAAAUCAUGGAUUUAACCUGUUUUUGCAUCAGGCUGUAGUUCAACUCAGUAUUUGCUCCACCAACGAAAGGUUAAAACCACUUUGCCGUGGUGUUAUUGGUUGUGGUUGCAUCAGGGUCGGUUUUGGGUAGAAGAAUUUGAGAAUAUCAUCGGGCCCAAUUGUAUCCGCAUUGGUACAUCCCUGCUAUUAAGCUCACAUUUCCAAGGCAUACUGAAAUUUUCUAUGCUCGUGCUUAACCAAACAAUGUUAGAGCUCAUCUUUCCUGAUGGAGUCUGUGAUUCUGUUAUUUAUCCAUUAUGUCUGCAGCAAAGAAUGGAAAAGGCAGAAAAGCUGUUUAAAGGGCCUUCUCUGUGCGUGUGGAACUAGGGUUAUAAUGCAUAAUGGUUGCUCUAUUUCACACAAGUAGUGCCCUUUAAUGAGAGGCAGAGGGAGCCUGAUAAGUUUGUUUUUGCAAAGCACUAAAACUGCACUAAAACUAGUAAGACUAAUAGACUCUUUAUGAUCUUCAAUUUAGUUUUUUUCAGAGGUAUAGUUACAAUAGAAUAGAAAAUGAAACAAUUUGUUUUCUUGUUUUUUUGGAAUAUUAAGAAUAAAAUGUGUAAAAUGUGUUGGCAAAAAUAGUGCUCACUUUUGAGUAGAUGGAACCAGUACCAGAAAAUGCACUCUAUCAAAGUAAUUCAUCUGCUUUGUGUUAGCUCUGCAGUUGGGGAGUUGUACCACGUCAAGAAUCACCCGGCAAAGACUAUAUUUUUAAAGCAGUGAAGCAUUUGUGCCCUGGACAUAGAAAGCAUCAACAUUAUUACCACGUCACUCACUUUAAUUAUUUAUGGGAUUUGCUCCAUAUGUUAAAUCUGUGAUAGGAGUUACAUAAUGCGAGAAUGCCCUUUGACUACAACAAAGUUUGUUAUCGACGAAGCCCUAUACGUGAAAACCUUAGUCUUGUGUGUUCAUUACACUGCAGCCAUUUGAGGCGAGGCAACAGGAUGGAUGUGCAUUUCCCACCUGCAGCCACUGAUUUGAAAAUUGCUGCCAAACAGCAGUGACAUCAUUACACGGAAUGAUUAAUUGUGGUUACUGUGAUUAAAUCUUUCUAAGCCAACACCAGCCUGCAAAAAAAGAACAAAAAAGAAAACGCACGUUUCAGUUCGCAUUCUACAGGUUGGACGUCGAACUCUCAUCCUUCCACUUUAUAUUCCCGACAAAUAAUCAGAAGUGGAGACGUACUGGAAAAGCACUUUACAAAGUAAACUAUUAUUAAAUGAAACUUAGGCGAAAAUUCAGUCAGAAAGACUGGACAGGCUGUGCCGUUCCCUGGUGGCCUCCUCUCUCCCUGGGGGGGCACGGCCAGCUGAUUAGGGGCGGGGUCGGGUAGUAUCAGACGUGGGUGUCGUUACCGUAAACCAAUCGCAUUGGUGCAGGCAAACGUUAAAAACUGUUCUCUCUUUUUCUGUCAGUUGUCAUUUCAGCACGCUCAAAGGUGAAGCGUAGCGUUCAGUUAGCGGGUCCUACACCACAGUGUUGCCGUCAACUCCGAAGGUCCGAUUGGACGUUGAUCGAUUGUGGUGGAACUAGCUCAACAAACCGAGCCGCCGAGCAGCAGGCGUGGUAGCACGCGCAUACGAGGCAGCAAGUGGUGUAAGCACCAAGCUUCCCUCUGUCCAGGUGUGAGUGGGUGAGGCUCACAGCUGGCAGAGAGCGAGUUGAUUCCUCCCUGCCACCCACACCAGCACAGGGGAGGACGAGAGAAGCGCAAGCAGCCCAUUAUGUUACAUGUAACGUUCAUUCAGCAGAAGCUUGUUUCCUAAGGGACAAUACGCGCAUUCAUCAUAGGGAACAGAACCAGAACCACAAUAAGCAAAAGCACAAAUUAAUGUUUUAUUAAGAGCCUGGCAGCAAACACUCGGCGUGUGGUUAAGAGGUUACCGUUCGCGCUGUGAGGGAGCGACAAGCACACUACGUCUAACCGGGAGAGCGCUGCACCCGGACGUGUUCUCCCCCAGAUACUCUGGGCCAUCGAGGUCGGACACCGCCGUCAUCUCCACGCUGGGAAACGCGCAGAUAUUCCGUCAACAGCAAGCAGCAGCGUAGCCCUCAACACUCAGCAUGGCAAGCGUCACUCCACAGCCACGCAGAUUGAAGCGGCUCGGCGAUUCACAGGCAUCCGCAGUCCCCGAUCGUCCACCGGGCGGGCAUGCAGAUACUAAACGGCUCAGAUGAAGCUCCGCGAGGCUACCUGCCUCCAUGUGAGGCAGCGCGGCGUCGGGAGGCGACGCUCUGGGAGGGUAAAAUAGCAGCUCCACGGUUGAGAACGCAGCUCUGGCAUCAACGAGACCUUAGUUGCGCGGUGUAAUGUAAUGUAUAAAGUUGUUUACUGUGAGAGGUGGCAUGAGUCAACGUUAGACUCCUUCAGGACUGAGUAGCGAUUUCAGCGCGAACUACGGGAGUAAUAGUUUUACUGGAGAGUAGUACGGAAGCGCAAAGCAGAGAAGCGCUUCAGAGGGGGACGUUGACCUACGUAUUAAUGAUACUUCGGGUAGUUUGAACUUGUAAUUUUCCGGGCUAGAAGAAUUCACUGCGGGUGCAUGGGUGAGGAUAAGUGCUGCUCAGGUGCCUUAUUGCUUUUAUAAUACGGUGCCAGCGAAUUUAGCGGCAGCACAAUCGUAUUUCGGUAGCCUUUAGGAAUGGUCCCGUUACUUGCAGGUAACUAAGGCACUGGACAUUGAGGCUCGCCUGCGACAUCUGGUUUACUACGAGCCCGUUCGAGCACGGGAACCAGCAUCGCAGCCACGGGGCUUCACGCAACAACCUCUGUAUGACAAGUCAACCCUCAACAUCCACGCAGAGCAAAGGAGCGCGGCAUCGGCAGUGCCGGGUCUUCCACGGGGUAGGCCUUCCACACAAGCAGCUAACACUUCGACACGAUGCGAAACGGAGCUGUUCACGGGUUGUUUGUUUGGCGAUCGUCCACAGAAUCCUAAGCAAUAACAGCAGGCGCCUGUUGCACGUGCGUGCACCAGAGGUAGUAGCAAUGGUGACGUGUCAUGAAAAAUAAUAAAUAAAUAAAUAAAUGUAGAGAAAGAGAAGAUUAGCCCUCGGCUGCGUCGUUGUGCUAGUGACAGGUUGACAAUCACAAUUGCAGUUGCCAACUGUGCGACUUCUUCCAAAGGCUAAGCUGCUGAGGAAGGUGUGCAGCUUUAAGUUGGUCUGAGAUGCAGCGCAAUGGUGUUGCUUUAGUGUUGCCAUACGCAUCACAUGCUGCUAGGUGGACAUGCCGUCUUAUUUGUCCCAACCUCCUCAACUAAAGCUGGGGACAGGAGCCGUACUGACAGAGUGUUGGAUGGCAGUGGGUUCAAUGGGAUAUUAGCCCCAACAGUACUCAGGGAAUUAUUUUAGGGGCAGCUACUGCAACCACAAACCAAGGUAUCUCCUUUUCAUCCCUGCCACCAAUGGGAAGUUGGGCUGCUGCAACCCCCACAUUCACCAACUUCAAGGAUGAUGAGUUCAGGAAAGCCUUAAAAGGUCAUGCAUUUAUUAAUGUCAUCAUUCACAUAGGUUCUUGUAUAUCGGGAUUUCGUUUGCCCGGUGGCCGUAGUAUCAUUCAUGCAAUGUUUGUUUCAGCCCUAAGUAGUCCGCACCGUUUAUUCAACGGGAUCUUCGCUCGUGGCCCUAAACGUCCUUGCAUGGCAGUGAUAGACUCUUAAAAUAAUCUGGUCUCACCUGACCCGUUUGCAGUUCUGAAGAAGGAGGUCCGUCAGUUGACCUUCCAACCUGGGAUCAAGUUAGGUUUGUGGUCUUAUGUGACCAGUCCAGCUGACUUCACGGAGAUGGUGCGGGCUAACCGGACCAGUCAAGCUAACACCGCGUUUUCUAGCCUAACGCGACCUUUUAGCGGACUCCAGUCAUGCCUCAUGGAUAUGGGGAAGCAAGAGUCGGCAUGUUUCUUAAAACUGGGGUCAUGAACAGAGUGGUGAUCUACUUGGCUACGGCAGCCGCUAUCUGCUUUGCUGCUGGUCUGCAUGUUAACUGCCCUAUCUUCGCAGGUUGAGCACCAGCUGUCGAGUUUGAUGUUAACUUCUUAAGUUCUCUGAAACACGCUAGCUUCACAUCACCGUGUUAGGUUGCUAACUGUCUCUGCAAUUCUGGUCUCCAGACGUCCUAUGGCCGGCCAUGCUGCUCCGGACGUGGCGCGUACUCCAGAGCUCUAAUAGAGGCGGUCCUACACACUCCCAAUAUGGAGGCCCUCGCUGGCGGGUGGCUCGCACUGAUUUCCGCCGUGCUGGUUUUGAAUCUAUACCACAACAUCUCAGGAUCCACCUCCCCAUUAUUCUCAACUUAAGCCUGAUUUAUGCUUCUGCGUUUUCAGAGCGACGCAGACGCAAGCCCCCCUUGCAUGUCCCUUGCGUCAAUUUUCACACCUCCUUGCGUCCUUGCGUGUGUCGAGCUAUUUUUCUAGAAAUGCGUAAAUAUGACCCCUUUUACAAGCCGUCAUUGGCGGGUUGGAUAAGCGGGUUGGAUUCAUGGAGGGAGAUCGCCGCAAACGCCGGUUUGCCGGUCGAGAGGUGCACAUAGUUGUGGAGGAAAAUACGGGACAAAUGUGUCCGCGAUGAAAAGCAGCAGUGGCGAUGCACGGGACAAUAAAGUCUAUGAUAAAUAAAUAAACAAAUAAAUAAAUAGACGUGACUCUCUAGGUCGGCUUCAACAAAACACGUUACUCCGCCUUUUAGAAGCAUGAAUUGAAACGAGUGCAUCGACGCAACGCAGCAGAUGCAAACGCAGAAGCUUGCGCCGGCCUUUAGAAUAACUGCUAGAGCUGCAGCAGCUAACCAAGGCAUUCCUGUGACAAGCCGGCAGCUGAUGGUGAGGGUUGAGGGUGGUGGUCGCCGUCUGCUGUGACGUUUCACUUUCGCUCUGACCAUAACAAGCAAGCAAGCAAAGCAAAGCACUCUCAAGAAAAGAUCUGUGAAGCCGUAAGAGCUGGUAAGCAUGCCUAUAACUGGUGCUGGUGGUGGUGUUUUCCCUUCUGGCAAUGUUGGAAGGGCACUUCAGUGUCCCCUUGCAGGGGACCACCAUUGUUCCUUACAGUCUCCCUUAAAUCUAAUCUUCUAGGUGAACGUGACCUGGCUUAACGUGUCUGUGUUUCCUAGGUUUGACGUUACCUGGCUUAACAUGUCUGUUUCCUGGUCUAACGGGACCACAUCCAUUUCCCAAAAGAUGUCCAGAUGGACCAGUCAAGCUGACAACACUCUGUUUCGCGGUCUCACGGGACCAGUCAAGCUGACUACCUUUCUGCUUCAUGGUCUCACGGGGCCAGUCAAGCUGACUACCGUUCCAUUUCGCGGUCCCGCGACCGGUCACUCUAGUUAAUAGCAAGUGCCCGGUCUGAGCUGACCCGUCAAGUGACGGUGGUCCGUUCAGCAAGGCUAACCUGACCAGUCAGGGACACCCAUGUGAUCAUCUGUUUCCAGGUCUGAGCGAACCCGGUCAAGUUGUUCUGUGAGGGGCCCUCCGCAACUAAGUCUAUUCUGCGGUCUCCCUCUGACCCUGACUGCCCUGUUCUGCGGUCCGCCAUGACCACCCCUAUCUGGUCUGCGGACUUACACAACCACAACCUGUCCUUGUCUGCGGUCAACUUCGACCCCCAACCUAACCUGUCCUUUGGUCUAGCAGACCCUCUCUUUUACUUCGGGAUCUUUUGAAAAACCACCAUGCCUCACUGUGGUCCAGCUAGACCCUCGCUAUGUCCUGCGGCUUCCCUGGCCCCUGUGUCCCUGGCCCCUGUGGUUCAACUAGACCUUCCUCUUUCAUUGUCCUGUUAACCUUUGCCUUGGUUUCUCAGAGUUAUGCAACUUGGGCUCUACCACCACCACCACCACCAGUGUCUGGUGUCUAGUGUCUCCCCCUUUGGGAGACACUAGACACCAGGAUAUGCCUCGUCUCGGCUCGAGGUCUCGGCCCUGGUCUAUCCUGCGGCAGGAUGGAGUCCAAGCCCCAAACAACUUGCAAUAUCAUAUGGCACAGGGCAGCUCCUUUUUAACUUGUAGAUGUAGAACUUAAGAUACAAUUCAAGAUACAAUCUUGAAUUGAUUCUUUUCUGCAUACAUAUUUACAUUAAAGGGGUAUAUAUUGUGAGAUAUAUAUGUAUACAUAUAUAUUUAUAUAUAUAUAAUAAGCAUUCCGUGAUGUCAAUUUGCAUGCCAUACUUGCUUUAUUCUUUAUUUUGGUUUUAUUUAUUAGCUGAUCCGGGUGGGUGUUUGGAUUUCUUGUACCUCUGCAGGAAAUGCAAUGGAUUUGUCAGUAAGCUCGAACACUGAAAAAUGUAUCCACAAAACAGGACAGCGGUCAUUUUCUGCAGUUCCUUGACAGCAGAUCAGUUUGAACUAUUGUUGAGAAUAAUGCAACAAGGAGCAGUCUCAGUGAGUUAGAUGAAAAGCUGUAGGCGACAGGCUGCACACCUUCAACUUCUCAGCGAGGUAAGCAAGUAUACUUUCACUGCUCACUGACUCAUGCCAUGUUCAGCAUGAAAUCAGAUCACGGUUGCUCACAGAAUGAUGUAAAAAGGCAGAUUAUGCCUGACUUUUUUGUUAAGACGAAAGAGUUACUUUUACUUCCCUCUGUGUUAUGGGACCUGUAAUAUUAAAUCCAAUUUACUCUGGUCACCAGUAAGGACAUUUUGAAGGACUGCCCUUUGCCCUUUUGUUGGGUCUGAAUUAAACAAAUUCAUUCUCUGGACACUUUUAGCACAAAUAUGAUGUUUUCACCUAGGCCCUCCUAUACGGUCCAAUUUUGAAUAAAAAUUUAUAAAAUAAAUGCAUUCGUGAACUCAGCAUUGCCAGCGGCGUCUUAAAACCCCCCACAUGCAAUUACAGUGAAGUUCAUACAUGAGAAUGACUUCGUAAAUGCAGGUAGAAUGAAUAUUCCAGCCUCCAGGGGCUACUUUCAUGGGUUUAGGAUCAUGUCUUCAUUAAAUGAAUGCAAACAUCUCCUGUGGCUAUUCUCAUUCUGCUCUGUGCAUGUACACAAAUGGUUAAAAAUGUGUGUUUUAACCAGUUGGAACGAAAGCAUGUUUUUUUCCCGGUUUUCUAUCUUUCUUGGCUAGGAAUGAUUUUAUUUGCUUCCCUAGAGCCUGAACUUAACUAACUUGUCAAUUAAAAUCAGGGUUAUGGCAGCUGACACGUUACACUUUGAUAUUCGUUUACUGCCGUGCCUGAGAGAGUCUUCAUAUUCAAUCACAACCAUGAAAAGCUUAUUAAUUGUACUCUUAUUACGUAUACAGCCUUUUGCCCGUCUUCAUACUUUUUUGAUGCCUCAGUUCAACUGGGCCUUGAAGCCUAAACCUAGAUUUGUUCCAUGGAUGAAGCCUUAUUCGUAUAGUAUUUAUGUCGACUCUUUGAAGUCCUUGACUGCAAAUGCCACUUGAAGAGGAUGAAGCAAUCUCAACCAAGCACUGUCCUACAAUGAAAUCAGAGCUAGGCAUAUGUUUGCUCUUACUGCAUGAAAAUAAAGGGAUAAUACAUGCAUAUUAGACCUGAGUCCUUCAUGUGAUGUACAAUCUGAGAUGCAGGUCUCUGACAAGACUGUAUGUCAUCAAAGUAGAAGGUUGAUUUCUUUACGGGGAUAUUCAUUGGUUCUUAUGAAAUGGAACCAGCAGUGGCUACAAUUUUUAUUCUGAUAAAAAACUGAACAGUAACUCGGAAGCUUGACCAAAAUCUACCAUCAGUUUACAUAGUGAGUUCACUGCCAAGGGUAAACUCUGUCAACUGCACCUACAUUGAAUUAUGCAGGAUGUAGGCAGGGAAUCAUUAUGUGACAUCUGCAGUGCCACCAAGCGCUUGCAAAAUUAUAGCCCGGAGUACCGUGUGAUUGGAACUUAAUGAGCAAAUGUGAGUGACAGUGAGACUUAGCCAGGGGGGCAACAACAGCACGGGUGGUGGUAGGUCAUGAAUCUGGAAUAAUGGAACCGUAAAUGGUCUCCAUCGGUAGUAUUGAUUUUCCUUAGACUCUUAUGUUUUAUUACCAUGACGAUCAUCCACCAACAAUGUAACCAGUCACAGAUUAAGCACUCGUGGGUAUUAUGUAUUUCGUAAAAUGGAGAAGGGUGCAAAGUAUUAAUGCCCUAUUCCUUCCCUUAUUGACUCUUAGUCCAUAGCUCAUGCUAUCUCAUAUGAACUGAACAUGCUUUAUUAAACUGAGCUCAUUUAGUAUGUAGCUGUAGCUUGUAAUAUCGUAUACUGUGAAAGUCCUGUUACAGGUUCUCUGUCAUGACUUUUUAAAGGACAUAAAAAGGGAUAGGUUUGCAGAAAUUACACCUUAGCAGAGCACUUGCACUUCACUCCAGCUCUGUUGUCUUAUCAAGUCCUUCAUUAGCAUGCCGCUGUUCAUAAAUGUAGCUGGCAAUUCACAGGAAGCACCCCCACCCGCUGAGGCCUUCUCCUCCCCGUCCCCAGCUAUUAUGUAAUUCCUCAUGGUUGUGUGAAUCUUCUCCACAGCCUCCUACCUCUGUGCCAGUCUGACUCCCCUCCUGUCUGCCACUCACAUUUAAUCCACGAAAGCUUCCUCUCCCCACAGCUGCUCUUACAUUUUCUUUCAUGCUCAGUCUCUACUUAUAAGCACCAGGAUGGAUGUUAACACUAACAGAGCUGCCAGAUUUUGAUUUUAUCUUUCAUUAUCGAAUUAGCUGUGUGCCAAAUUUGAAGUGAUGUUAACGGGAGGAGAUAUGAUAUUCUCACCAUUACAUUGGGGUUAUGUAUGCAUCAUUACUGAGGUUUGAGUAACUAUAAAAGUGGAUGCCCGCUGUGGCAAGAUUGGGGGUAUGCUCAGCUUCUCAGAUGUGUGUUCCAUUCAUCUCCAUGAAAAACAUCCCAUUGAGAGAUGGGAUGCAGCUUUGCAACUUUGUAUGCCAUUGAAUUAAUCACAAAAAUCUAAAUUUUAUUGCAUUUCCGUUAGUUUAGAUAUAGAUAUUUAUUAUUUUUUGGAAGAACUGGCACAGUACUAAGACCCUGAUGAUGAUGCUGGUCAUUUCAGUCCUAUUUAGACAAGCUGGAUGCAAAGAUUAUUAGUCAAAUAGAAGCUGUGUCAUCACAAGCACUUUGCAAAACUCAAGAUAAGUGUGAUCUGCCCCUGAGGUAUACUAUUGUUAGCCUUCACAUUCAACAUGACAGACAAAUGUCACUGACAUUCUGUGUUGGUUCUCAAGCCAGAUUUUGACUUGGAGUCUGCCUACUAUACCUAAAGUAAUUCCAUUACUUUACUAAAGCUUUGUUCUUUUCUCUGUAAUAUCUCUCACAACAUGAUUAAUCAGAAAUCCACAAAAUGUCAGUUUUCAAAGGUUGUUAUUCAUUAUUUGGAAGUAGACUGAAUGGCUAUCCUAAUGGAAAGGUCCCCUUUUCAUUGACACACAUUCUAUACCAUACCAUCCAAACAAAAGUAUGCUUAAUGAGGAUUGCUUUUGUGUCGUUAGCUAUAUCCAUAUUAUCUUCCUUCAUUAAAUAAUUCUGUUGGAAUGUGUAAUGUUGGUUGGUGGUAAUACACCAGUGAGAAACGUCACCCUUCGGUGUAGCCAAACCGCUCUAAAAUACAACUUUAUGAAUUAAUUUAACAAUUUAUAAUGGAUUUUUAUUAUUGAUGAUUCUGUGGCACGUUAAAAAUGUGGUGUGGUGCCGCAGAUGGUCCCAUGCCAGGGCAAAGGCUGGAAAUCCAAAGAGCUAAUCAGCUGUCUCAGAUAACUUGCUGUGUACACAAAAAUUUAGAGCAUUCUCUGAUCAAAUGCUUUGCACUAAUGAGUCAUUAUUUCCAUUUGCGAAAUUAAAAAUACCGCAAGGUUUACCACGUCGUCCAGCGAAUUAUUAAUGAUGCACAUUAGAGAUGUCCGUUCAGUGCUCUCAAUAAAAAAAAUGAAAUCCCAAAAUAAAACCUAAGACAUCCCAAAAUGAAUUCAGAUCGUUGCUACUGUCAUAAAGCCAGAAGCCGAUGUGCUGUGUGUUUAUGUGUGUUGUGCGUGUGUGUGUUCAUCUUGACCAAGAGGUUUCACUUUCAUUGCCAUUCAUGGUACAUGGUAUUUUACAUGGUAUUUUCCUUCAAAAUCUCAUCCAAAAUUUGUCUCAUCACUGUUAUUUGUUGGAGUUCACUGGCAAGUAUGAUCACUUGUGCACUCAGUUGAGAUAAGCAUCUACGUCACCAAAUGACUGAGGGAUUUCACAGUUUUUAAAUGUAUCCUGUGGAUAAAACAAUGUGAUACCUUACCUAUGUGUUGUUUGGCCACAAAGUAAGAAUGACCAAACGACCAUAUUUACUCCUUAAAUUCAGAUCAGACUGAAUAUGAAUAGAUUUGACCAUAAAAAAAACUAGAGAUGUAUGAGGAAGAAAAACACCUUAAUGUUUAGAUGUUUAGCACCAAACAAAGACAUGGAUUAUGUAGGAAGAUAGGAAGUAUACAAACAAUACAAACAAGACUAAAAUAUAAAGGGAGCCCAAAAAGUAAUCAUUAAAAGGUAAAAUCAUUAAAAAACUGUUUUUGCCCUUAAUGGCUGGUUUACACUUCUGAUGUUAUAUAUUAAAGAAAAAAGAAAACCUGCUCAUUGCCAAGUAUUCAACAAUUCUAUUGGUUGACUUGGGAGUGUUUAAAGCAGAUGUUUAGUUUUUAUGUGAUGGCUCAGGGGUGUGAGCACUGAAGGUCUUUCAUUCAGUCAAUGUGUAAGGAAUCUACAAAUCGACUUCAUUCAAGAUAAAAACAAAACCCUUUAAAAUGGCCUAUUGAUCCCUCUCUCCCUCCCCCUACUCCCACUCUUUCUUUCUGUGUGUGUGUGUGUGUGUGUGUGUGUGUGUGUGUGUGUGUGUGUGUGUGUGUGUGUGUGUGUGUAAAAUGCAUGUGUUCGGGUACCGCAACAAGGUCUGACUUACUGUCCUUGGUUGCGGAGUCACUCACACUCAUCCACACACAUGCAAACAUGCUCAUGUACGGGUCCUGGAAGUGGGCUUUGAACGCAGUGGGCUGUGAGAAUGGGUAAUGGAGGACAAUAUGUGUCCUGGGAUCGUGGCGGAUGGAUCCUCCAUUGCGAGGGCGAUGAGACCUGAAGGACGACAGGGAGAUGGAGGCAUUGAGGGAGAAAGCAGCCGCAGCCCAACGCUCUGUUAGGCGCCUAAUGGAGAGACCGCAAGGAAGCGGCAAGCACCAUAGGGCCCAAUGCUACCAGAGGAACGCUCGGAGAACACAAACAGGGAGGAAUCGUCGAGCUGCAAAGGCUGAUGUAGGAGCGGGACAUUUGUAAUUGGCAGAAUCAUUUGGUUAUAGUAGAAUCAUUCUUUGAAGGCGCAUUCAUGUGUUUCCCAGUGGCACGAGACAACCAUAAAGCACCUGCAGGAGAGUGAUGUGUUGAUCAAUGCCAAGGAGAUAACGAUUACUUCUGCAGAUGUAAGUAGCUGAUUAAAGGUUGGGUUACUUGGAGAGAAGGCUGGAUUUUUCUGGCUGAAGAGGUAGUGGCCUGUAGUGAUAUCAAUAUAUGGACAUUAGCUUGGACCUGGGUCGUUCUAGACAAAUAACCUUAAAUAAGUUACAAAAAGAAAUACAGAUAACAAACUAUAUAAAACCAUGUAAUUAUGACGAUAUUGCACAAAUUAAGAAUGAUUUGUGAAGCUGCCCUUUCAAAUGAACACCUUGCAGGGCUUUUAAACAGACACUAUCAAUCCUGUUGGUGUAUCAGGUCGCAAUUAAAAGCGAAUUAGCAUUUUGGUUUUAUACAAGUGCUACAUCCUGCUUCCUCAUUUGUUUGUCAGGUCACUGCUUUCUUCUUGGCUGUGAGAUCCCUGAUUUACAAGAAUUAUAGCCUCACCCAGAUGCUACUGUUCAAGCACCAAUAUCACUAAGUAGUUGCACAGUGUGUGUUAAAAGAUCCAAACAGCACCUUUUGCCUUUUGGAAACACCGUAAUUAAACAACGUAAAAAAAAUGGGGUGGAUUUACGGGUUGUUUUUUGAUCAGUGGAAAUUUUGCCGUGCAAUAACAUUCAUGGCAUUUUUACAAAUGUGUCUUCUAACACGGAAAAAGGACUACACUGUAUUCAUCCUCCAGAACUGCGUAUUUAAGAAGAGGAUCUUUGAGUUUGGGACAAAUACAGAUGUUGGGACCCAUUUUUUCAUUUUCUGCAAUUUGAGACAAAGACUGUAUUUCCAGUUCCAGCACACAAUUUAGUCUACCUUGGGCUGCUGAUAUCACAUUUAAUUGGAUCAAAGUCUUCAUAUCGCAACAAGACAAUUUUUCUUCCUCAUGGUGGAGCUAUUUUAAUGAGCUCUUUUUCAAGAAUCCUCACCUUGCUAGCAACUAAUCUAUGUACAUCAUUGCUGUUUUCUCCACAAAGAGGAGUCAUGGGAAAACGCUUUAUACAAACAAGAUUGCAUUGUUUUACAAAAUGUUGAGCAUCAUUCAUUGUGCUUCCAGAAUAAAAACAUGCACACACAGUACUUCUUGCAACAACAAUUCCUUCUCUGCUGUGUUCAUUCAAGUUCAUCAUUCUUCUGAAAGCUCAUAAAAAGCUUUAGGAAGAAAAGGUGUGCACCGUCACACAUAAUUGAAAUUCUUCCACCACCUUCUCCUUAGAAAGUUGCCGGGGAAUAAUUUAAAUGAAUAAUUGAGAUAAAGUUACUACACUCCAGUGACAGUAUUAGAGCUUGGUCGUUACAUAAAGGGUUAUGAGUAGGUUGUUCAAGUGUGACCAGCACAGUAAAGUACCUUUCUGUACAUUUCAUCCAUAAUUACGAGGUGAGGAUGAGUACAGACUGCAUAUGUGGAUGGUAAUACAGCAAGUCCUUGCAUUCUACUGACUUAAGCAGAUGCAUUUAAAGUGUCUAUCAACGCACAACAUGUUCAAAACUGUGAUAGUCACUGACACACCAAUUAAGUCAACGUGCUUGGAACAGGCCUGAGCAGCCUGCCAUGUCUUCUUCUGUUUCAAAAUUAAUUUGUCAUGUAAAAUGUAUCAUGACUACAACUGAUGAAAAAAAGCAUUUCUCCCAAUUAAAGAUACCUUCAUCAGUAGGAACACACAAGGGGAGAAAACGGUGCCUUCAGGAGUCGUUCGAGAGUCUUGAAUUUAACGGAAAUUCCUGUUUUGUGUUUUCAGCUCAUUAGGAACAGGAGUGGAUGCUUCAUCAUUAAGGCAAACCAAAUCUUCAUAUACAUUUAGAUUUAUACCUCAUAGUCAUUCAUUUAAAUGGGUAUAAAAGAGUAAAAAUACUUUCAUAUGAAGGGUAGCAGCAAUUUUGUGCAGGUAGAAAUGCACUGUGCAAGCUAGUGCCUUUAAAAUCUGCAUGAAAGGAUUAUGAAUAGAUAUCCACACUUAAUUAAUGUCUGUCUCCUAUAUCAUUGGCCCUUCUUCUGUUUCUACCUAGUGAGCACAUGUAUUUACAAAUAGGAACGGCUUCUUUGAAAAGACACCGAGGGGGAACUAGGUUAGAGAGCUGCAGCCCCAGAAGGACUGCACUGCACUCCACUCAAUAAGAAAAGCCCUAAACGGAUUUCUGUGAAGGAACUGCUCAGGGAGAACUGAACAGAUUGAUGGAUACACGUUCUGCAUGCUAUUGCUGGUGGAACAGCAACACCAAAAGCUUCUCAUCGACAAUUACAGCUCAGAGAGCAGAGAGGGAGAUAAGGCCAGGGGAGACGGUGCAUUUCAGGAAGAUAUUAGGUUUGAGCAGGGGAAAAAUAUAUCCGCACCGUCUUAUUCAGUCUGUUUCUAGCACAGUGUGUCGAGAAUCCUUGGCGGUAUUACACAAGUGUGUGCAAUUCCAAUCCUCUCAUUGUAUUUCUUCUGAUUCAAUCCAUUUCAAGGUCACUCGUAUGCACCUGUAAUUGAUUAUUGCGCGCCAGCAGAACCAGAUUGAUAAGCUUCUUUCACCAUCUUAACACUGAGCCUCUUUGACAAAGACUAGAUUCAUCUCCUGUUGAAUGGUGACAAAGGAGGAGUGGCCCAUUAAAAGGCGGGAGCCAUGUGAUGACGGAUUUCUACAGUGCUCUACAGAUACAGAUGAUGCAAAACACUGAUCGAUUGGACGGACAUUUUGGCCCUUAAGAUGGAAAUGUAAUGGAUUGGAUGCCUUCGGGGUUGUUAGGUGAAAAGCGGCAUGUUGGAUCACAAACUGAAACAGAUGUUGUACUAUUCUUCAGGUGUAUACAAGGCCAAAGAAAGAAAAAAAAGGUACCUAACAACUCUGCUAAACUGUGGAAUACAACAGUGCGGGACGCAGUCACUGUAGGAGAAUAAGCCGUGAUACAGGCCGAGUCACGACAGGGACAUGAGGCUUCAACAACACUUCACAGGUAUCCAAUGGCAACACAUUACAUCAGUUUCUGAGGGGCUUUAAUAAAAAAUAUCUCUCACUUCUCCCCUCCACCACUACAGUCUCUCACGCAGCAGGAAGGGUGUGGUUUGGCACAACUUUCAAAGUCUCACUUGGACAUGCGGCAAAGGGGAGGGUUGUAGGUGUUGAUUAGACGUCAGGUUCACUUUGGGCGAUAAGUUGUUGUGUGAACUGGCCAUUCUUGAUUUUCAAGGGUACAGGAUGGAUUUGUAGGGCUGCCAAAGGUUCACCUUCAUGCUUCUGUUCACACUGAAAACAACCAACAGAAGAGUGAUACUGUAGUUUCUAUGUUGGCUUUUUAAACAUAAAAACAACCGUGUCAUAUUGUCUCAUACUAAUGGAGCAAGUCUUUGGUUAAGGAGGUAAAAUCAAGCAAAUACGUCAACUUUGAUCCCAAAAGGAAAUACUUAUAUUACAGAAAGAAUUGAGAUAAAGUUAAGAUACGUACACAGACUGAUAUAUAAUCAUCUGUAAAUACUGGGUCACAUGGAAUUUACAAAAAUAAUACAAUUUUUUAGGAUUUGCUUUUAUUGUUCUAAAUAUUCACUUUGCUCUGGGCAAUAUUACCUGGCGAGGACCACAGAAAAGCACUUGUUUGUCAACCUUCACUUUCCACAAUGUACUGUGGGAUUUGAGCAUAGCUCAUUUAAUGUGUUAGAACAAGCCUCAAACUUGUUUGUGCAUGUGUAUGGAGGAUAGUCUAUUAUUCAUUCAAAUUACAGUUAUUUUUCAUAUUCUGGCAAUUCUUUCACUCUAGAGGAGAGAGGCCAUGUGAUAGCAGCGCUCCUUUGCUUAUCAACAUGAUGUUCUACAGAGCUGACAAAGCUCAAGGCCAGGAGUGGUGAAUGAAUUUAUCUAUGUAUGUGUUGCUGUGUGUCUGUGUAUGCACAGUUUUUCUUUUUAACAAACAGUGUGCAUAAUUAAAUUAAGAAUUACAGUCCUGCAACUGAAAAACAUCCCCUAAAUGGUAUAAAAUAUCAGUCACUGUAGCAUUCAUCAUGCUGUUGACCCAAAGAAAUUUAACGCCAAUAUAAAGGGCCGUGUUUUUCACAAAGCAGCGCAUUGCGUAGGGCAACUCUAAUUGCUAAUUUCUGACUGAUUCAGUGUAAUUUCCAUGCACAGCUCUCAAGUUGUGUAAGAAUCAAAUGCACCCAUCUGUUUUCCCAUCUGUGCGCCCAUGGGUGUGUUGGUCUAAAGUGAGGUGUGGUUGGGCCCAUUGUCAAUGCUUCACUUUGCUCAGGCAGUAGAUGGUGAUAGUCUGUUUCAAAAUCCAUGGCGCCGUAUUUUCCUGCUAUUUCAAGGCCACAUUUUUCAGAUAGUAAGAUGCACCCACAUCAUUUUGUUGAGAAAAACUCAUCAACUGAGUGUAUGUUGAUGAGCGUUGUUUUCACGCCUUGUAUGGACGGUGCUUACAUACCUCUGCACUCAUCCAGAUGUUUCAAAUAACUCCAGAGCAUGUUGGAUUCUCCAAUUCCACAUUUAGUACUGAGGUGCCAGGUGCAGGCCAAAGGGAAUGGGAGAUGACACUGAUUAGUUGAAUUCACGGUACACCCAAAGAACCUAUGAUUAAUUAGGAGACAUAAUACAAUCCCUCUUACCUGACCCGCCAGAUGUUCGUUCCACAGAUCAUUCUGAAAGCCACAGUUGGAAAUUGCUUGAGAGGCAAGCACUUUCAAAAGAGCUUUCAUACCCUUGCCAGCAUGUCUGGAGAAGAGCGAAAACACCUGGUUCAUCCUAAAAAUCCUUCACUGCCAUUUUUACUGAGUAACUCUCAAGUUGUCAUACAAGUGUUGCUCUUGCUCUCUUCUCAAGCCACCCAUGUUGAUUUGAACGUCCUCCUUUGCCCUUUGAAACCUACUGUGCGGCCAGAUUAUGCACCGUUUAAGUAGCAAAGACACGCCUUAAAUGCACAUUUUUGCACGUUCCAUAAAUAGUUUUUAAAAAGUUUGUCGUCCUGUUGCGCUGGUAAAUUAGUCCUGGCUGAAUUUUACUUCCAGACCAGUUCCAUUUCUGGAAGCAGCCACAGUAUUAGUCCUAAGUCCCGCAUUGCAACCGGUUUAGGAAAAAUGUAGGUCAUCACAGCAAAACCAACCUUCAGGCCCCCCUCCAGCUCAAAUCCGACAUCUUUGUGGUAAGAGAAGUAUUGGGCUUCACACUAAUCCUUCCGGUCAUACUGAGUUUCAAAUUUCAUCUCGGUUUUCUCAUUAUAGGUUUUGGAGAUACUGAGACCCCAUAGUGGUCAUGAUAGUUCAGCUAAUCUGAUGGGGUUUCGUUGCAAGAAAUGUCAAAACCAAUGCUCCUGGAUCCAUGGGUUAGCGAUAUUUUGGACACAGGUUGUGAAAACUCUAGAGGCAAGACAGAGGGCCAAGAAUGGUGACUCCAACCCAAGCUAGAUUGUUUGGAUAGCCAAGAAACGAUUCAUUCUAUGGUCGUUUGGCGAAAAUAUAUACUUAUUAGAUGAAGAAAUGAAUAGUAUGUGAGGAAGCGAACAAAAAUGUUGCUGCUUUGGUUUACCCUAUAAAGGAAAGACUUACUGAUUGCAAAGGCGGGAUAGAAACUCACGCAGCAAAUGUAACCUGUGUUCCUGCUUGUGUUCUUGGUACAGAAAAGUUCUUCAGAAAUGACAAAAAAAUAGCAAGGAAAUAUACACACUUUUACUGUUGAGAUGAGAUGCGCUACUGUUUACUGUGCAUCUGAUGUGCAAAAGGAUAGCCCUGAAAGACGUGUGUUUGGAACAGGUAGACUAAAGUAACCAGUCAAAGAGCUAUGCUGGGAAGUGUACUGAACUAUUUAUUUUGAGAGCAAUCUGCUCCACAAUUUCGGUCUACCGAGAAAAAGGAGGGCUUUCCCUGGCGGCAGCAGGCUUAAUCAGCAUUGUGUGAAAUCGUUUGGCCGGGGCUUGAAUGUGACUGACAUUCAUUUAUAUGCAAAAGACCCGUACUCUAGCUUUAACAUUUGUCCAGGCAUCACCUGAGGUGAUUUACCACACAGGAGCACACACACACUUGUAAAAGCUUAGCCACAUUCGUGCACAUGCCCACGCAUGUGGAUGUAUAUACACACAGCGGUGGGAAAAUGUCCUUGGUAGGCUGGUUUGAAGCUCUUGUUGCGCAGCUGUUAUUAUUCAAACGUCAUGUAGCAGUUGCUCAAUUUCAUUUGUUUUUGGAAACACUACACGUCUCUAAAGUGCUUUCUUUGUAUCCUCAUUUGUUUUCAUAUGCUCUUGGACUCUCAGGUUGUUGGCUCUAUGAAUGGGUUCUUUUUUCUCUUUCCCUGUUCCGAGCUGUUCAAGGCUAAUCUCCAGCGGGGUUCUGACCCAUUUAGAAUGUCUUCAUGUGAGGCAAAUUUAAGUGGAGACAUCCCUAGGAUUUUUGAGCUGAGGCUGACAAGGCCAAAUGUCACAAUGACAAGUAAAUACAUCUAGGUUUUCAGCAGGGACGGAUUUACGUUGUGUCGCAGGCUGUAAGAAGCAGAAAGUUGUGUAUCACAGUUGGCAAUUUGGCACUGUGCUACUGGGUACUAGACCUUGCCGUGGACUUGUGUGGGCAGAUGUGCUGCUCUGAUUUGGCUGUAGGCUCACAGUGGGAAAGCAGUCGGCAGGGUGUAGAUUGAACAUGGAAAGAUUUCUGUGUAUAUCGUGCAGAUACUUUAGAGGAACAUUUCAAAUUUGAGAGCUCUGUGAAAUAAUCACAAAUUCGGGGAAACCGUGGUUAGCUCAACUUGCUUUGGAAUUAAUUAGACUGUGUAUUAUUUUUAUUACAGCAUUUUAAGAUUCAACGUUUCGCUUGGCUGAAAAAUGACUUAAAAUUAGUGUCGACAAAAAAACAUUUCUAAAAUGUAUAAUUGAUUGUUCAUUGACAGUAUGUUACACUCCUUUCACCAUAUGAUUUUAAUAACUGAUAAAAAAUCUUAGUGUUUGUUAUAGAUGAGUGGAUGUUAUAGAUCAAUCAAACAAAUCAUGAAUUAUGAAUCAUUUCAGAAAAAAAUCACCUCUUGCAAUAAAACACGAAAUAUUCCUUUGAAAGUGAGCAGAUGCACUCAUAUAACUGCUCGGUACUGUCCUCUCAAUUAAAUUCAUACGUGUCUAAGUCCUCAUACAAAAAGCUUGACCUGUUCCUGGUGUGCUGCGUGAAGUCAAUCUCAUCCAAGCCGACUUAUUUCGAAGAGGGUGGCUGGCUGAUUAAAGGUGGCUUUUAAGACAAUCCUAUGAUGACAUUCACCUGUAUCGAAGGCUUAUAUUGUGUUUAUAAACUACCUGACUGACAGCUGGUCUUUCUCAAUGGAAAACAUGCACACAGGCUCACACACUUCCAGGUUCUUGGUUUAGACCCGCACCAUGGGCACACAUUGAACUGCAAUCCAUGGUUACAAGCCUGGCACGCUUUAGUGCACAGCUAUGGAUUAGCGGUUAGCCCAGCAGUAGCCCUUGAUUAUGCACUGUUUGGUGACAACCUGAGCACGACUCCAUUAUAAUUGACCUUGUGUUAAACCAUGCAGGCUCACACUUUCACAUAAUGGUGCCUUGAAUAAACCUUUAGCCUCUUUACCUGAUGCAUGGCCAAGUCACAUGGCAUUUUACUUUCACCGGACUUACAUACUAGACAGAGACAAACCUCCUGCGUCCCAGAGAUUUAAUUCAGUACAUUCUCUUUGUGUCUCCCUAAUGGUUAUUAUCUCACCAUGUUCACUGGUGAUUCAGCAUGAGUUCCAUUAUUAUCAUGGUAGAAAGCUGUGACAUUAGUUCAUGGCCUCUCAUCUCUUGUUAGUUCCCAGGCUAAGGUACUAUAUUUAAUUAGCAGCAAAACCGUUUUUUUUAAACCCCAACCCAUAAUUUGCAGGCAGUUGCCUGGAACUACUUCAUGCCAUCUUGCAAAAAAAGAAAAGAAGCUGUCUUUCCACCUACUUUCAUUUUAGCGUCGCCGCUGUGUGUACCGGUUGUUCUACUAGCUGUUAGCCAAACACCAUCCUAAACACUAAAAGGGAGCAUACUCAUCUGUGUAAACAGCAGUGAGUCAGGAGGCAGCAGGCCGUCAAUGGAAGUAUCAAAAAUCCAAUAAAAGGUGUGAGAAAGUGUGAGUCACUGCAACCAUGGUUGUUCUUGAAGAUGCAGCCCUAACCCGGCACCUGGUUUGGCAGUUCGCUGCAACAGAAUGCAGGACUGGCCGAAGAGGUGUAACAUAAUCAAAUCACAUAAUCAAUGUGAUAAAGAAAAAUUAGGUUUAGUUAAGUGGGUUGAGAUUCAUUUCGAGGCGGUUAAAAUUAUUUUUCCGAGUUGGUCUGCAUUGUUGGUCGCAGCAGUGCGUCUCACACACACGUGUUUGUCUGUGUCUUAGCAGACACACUUGUCUCUUCAAAUAAGGUUACUGAAAAAUAUUUAAUAAUACCAUAAUAGAUAAUAAAACAAGUUUCUGACAUUGAUAACCUGGAGCCAUGUUAGAGUUAUUAAUAAUAUAGCAGUAAAAAGCUCUCGCCUCGCAGGUUUUCAUAGAUUUUCGUCUGGACCCUGGUCCUGACUCCUGCCAUGGCCCCACUGAUACCUACCGCUUUUAACACCACUAUUAUUUCCAUCACUAUUACUGUCAACAUUAAUGCGCAUCACUAACUUUGUUUCUUCCACAGAGCAUUUGUGCUUUUUCACCUCACAGGUCUCCAUGGAUCAUGGUUCUAUUUGGAUCCUGUUCCUGCCUCCUUCCGUGGCCCCGCUGACAACUGCUGCUAUCAUCAUUUUUAUUAUUUUAAAUAUUAAUCACAUUACUAUUACUGUCAUCAUAAACCAACAUUAUCCGCUUUGCUUCUUUGCUGAAGUCAUUGUGCCUCCCCACAGGUUUCUGUGUAAGGUGGUUCUAUCUGAUGGUGGUUGUCCCUGCAGUGAUCCUGCCGUACACCUGGCUUACAAUUCGCAAUAUUUGAAUCAUUUCCGUCAUAGGAAUUGAAUAUAUUGUACAUCUUUUGCAUUGUUCAUUCUGUACACAUGACAUCUAUUGUAGUCUGUCCAUCCCUGGAGAGGGUUCCCUCCUCUGACGUUCUCCCUAACGUUUCUUCCCUUUUUUACCCUUGAAAUGGUUUUUCAUUUUUUGGGAGUUUUUCCUGUGCCGAUGUGAGGGUUUCCGGACAGAGGAUGUUGCACGUGUACAGACUGUAAACCCCCUGAGGGAAAUUUGUAAUUUGUAGUUUUGGGCUAUACGAAAUAAAAUGAAUUGAAUUGAAAAAUGCAAAAGACAACGUCAAAUAGAACAAUAAAAAAAGUUUUACACUUUUAAACGAAAAUAAUGCAUAACAUUUGAAGGCCUUUCUUUGCCUUUAUAAAUCAACACAUUGGUGCAAUUUAAAUUCAUAGGAACAGGAUCAAGUAUAGCGGUUCAUACAAGAUAUCUUGAGUUCUUACAGAUGUGGAAUGUCAUAGCCUAUUACAUUCAUGUUCAAUGAGGUGCUAACAUCAUGUUGUAUACCUGAAGUUCAACCAAAAAGCCUUCUAUCAAACUGGCAGCCACCGAUGAGCAAUCAAGCUGCCUGUUAGUGAAGUUAUUAAAAUCAUCCAGCUAGUCCCUACAUAAAAUUCCAUGUCAGAAGAAUUUAGAUCUGUGGCCAUCAUUGGAGAGAGGUUCCUGUGGUGCGUGUUGCUCAUCUGUGUGAUUGAUGAUAGGGCCUUGCUCUCUGCGGUCUAUGACAGGGCCUCAGUGGACUUGGCCCAUAGCAACUACUCAAGUGUGACAAGCUGGCAGACACCGGCCAAGGUGAGAGCAGGACAGAUGGGAAGCCUCUCUCCAGAGUAUCUGCCACAAGGCAGAACCAAACAAACUGCUUAAAGAUUCACUUUAGAUUGCCCUCCCUUACAAUCUUGCCGGCGUGGCCGUCUUCCGGCUCCUCCAACAGGUCUUUUUCAUUUAAGUUGUGGCCCUGGUGUUCCCGUCCCGCUCCCUUGCCACACUGAGCCCCGGGUCUUCAAGGUUAAUCAGUCCGGUUGGUUGUAUAUGCCAGGAUGCGGCUGUAAUCUCACAGACUUGUUUAUAUAUCACACGGAGAACAUUAGGGAAAGCAGGAGCACGGCCUCUCUCAAUAACCCACAACGGCACACUGAUAAUGCCUUUGGACAGGGAACGUUCCCCUUUGAUUUGCUGUCAAAUUUUACAACAAUUGGAGAGAGGUGCGGGUGGAUCUCAUGUGAGUCACCCUAGGGGACGACAAAGCUCACACCACCACUCAACCAAGCCCGGCUCUUCCUCUUCACGGCUGAAUGGCAUCCUAAACAUGGCUGUGCUGACCUUGCGAGCAGCCAUUAAACACCUGGAGGAAUUAUCCGCAUCUAAUUACAUCUGCCACUGCCAGCCCUUCAGUGAAAACAGAACUGUUCCCCAUGGUAAUGUUUGAUAAAAAGUGGCCGAUGUCAAGUUUAAGUUCAUUUUGAUGAUUAGAUAUUGCACAACAUAAUAAUCUUAGUAUGUUGGGAGACAUGACAAUUACAUUGGCAUGUAGGCUGUUUAUCUGAUAUAAUAAUAUAACGUAAAAUUCAGUCAUAUUCAACAAAACACUCAAAUAACACUUUUUGCUGAUAAUAUUUUUUAUUUCAGGAUAGAUGUAAAUCACCCAUAACAACUAUCCGAGUAUUACCUUAAUAUAUUCCUUUGUCUCACUCUCAAGUCAAUAUCUCUAAAUUGGGACACAAUUAUGAGAGGUAAGGAAUUUUUCUUUCUUGAUAUCUAGUGGGAUUAAAAUAAUAGCUGAAAUUGAAUAGCAAGGAUCUUAUCUUUUACAGAUGGGCAAUGAUAUUUAUAUUCACCAAAACAUGAAAAAAAUCUCUUUCCAAAAUUGAUUUGCAUCUAACACUCAAUAGUUGUCUCCUUGAUUACACAAAGCCGAAGACCGUGUUCAUCUGAAAAACUGCAGUGGGUCCGACUGUGGUGAAGCAAUUCCUAACAGACCUCAUGGUUGAGUGAAUGAAAGGCGUCAGUAAUAGCACUUCAUCGUAGAUAGACAGGAUGCUGUGUAGCGUGAGGUGGGUUGGACGGGGUGGUGGGAUUUUUAUAUAAUUGAAAAGCUCAACCAUGACUUCUCAGAGCAAUUACUGUACUGUCAUUGUUGGAAAUUAAGUGUCAAAAUCCGAGAAAUUACAACGGAACCGGACAGGAAUGAGAGUACCUUCUAUUGUUAACAAAUAAAUUGACCGAGGCCUUAUGCAUCCCUCUGCACAGUCAUAACAAAUGUCCAAAUAAUAAGAAUGAGAACGUUACAUAGGCAAGAUUGCAGAGAAUAUCAAAAUCGAGGCGUUUUUUAAUUUAAUUUCACUCUCUGGAAUUGAAAUAGGGUCGUAAAACCACCCUGUUUGCCUUUACCACCAAAAAGUAAUGUUAAACUAAAUCACGUUUUAGUAAUUAAAUGUUUACUGUCAUUUAAAUGAUAAAUUAAUCCAGAUUGCCAUUAUAAUUAUUUUAAAUCAAUUACAUUUCGAUUUAGGGAGAGCAAGUAAUUCGGAAGGUUGGCUAUUUCAUCCUAUAGGGACUGACAAUAUUUGUUAAAGUUAACCUAUAGGCUUUGUUAGUUUCCGUACAAAUACCUAGUUGCCUAAAUCAAAUAAUUUCUAUUUUAUUCCUUGCACCAGCAGCUCUCUGACUUCCCCUCAUUGCCCCGCUACCCGACUGUUACUCCCAUAACGGUGUCUUUGUGUUGUUUAUUCUUUGAAGGCAGCUGAAACCUGGCUAUCUUGACCGAAUGUUUUGUUUUUAUGCCUCCUGCUGGUAACGGCAACCCAUAUGGCAAAACUGGAGAAACGUGUUAUCUGUGGAUUGUGACACUGAAUUUCUCCGUAAAUCAGAAUGGCUCAUGUGAUUUGGAGUGAUUCACCCUCUAAGGAGUCUACCAAAGGGGAAAUGACCAAUUCACUUGCAAUUUGUUACCGACGCAUUGAUGUAAAACAGUAUUUUCCCUGAAGUAAGGUCUUCAUCAUACCACCGUCUCCUCAGAGAGAGUAUUAGUAAUAAUGAUGGAUGAGGAGCAGAACUUUGAUUAUGUCUUCUAUUAGGCCACACAUAAAAACAUGUUUUGUUUUUCAUUAUUGUAUCAAGAUGUGAUUAUUAAAAGGGCAGUGCACAUCCCUUUGCUUUAAGUGGACUAGAUGCACAUGGACCGGCUUCUGGUUGUUGUCAACUUGUUGUUUACUUUCUUCUUUGAUAGGGCUUGGAAGAAAAUACAAGCUUCUCAACUUGUGUGGAUGCAAACAGUUCACUGCUUGACACAAGCAAAGCCCUGUGGAGCUUCCUGCCAGUUCUACCACUUCUCCGCAUCUCAGCUGGACAAGCACUCCGAUCCUUAAGUUGGCCCAACCGUCAUCUAACUUGUACUGUGCUGUCAAGAAAACCUUAUUAUUUCCUAAAUCUUGUUUAGAUCUUAAUCAGUGUGCAGCUGUUGCCAGCUUGAUGCUUGAAACAAAAUGUUCUUGUCCUGAAUUACAUGAACAAUAAGGUUGACUUCUAAUCAAAGCUUUACCACCAGGAAUAAUUAUAUUUCAAACACAAUUAUGGACAUCUUGCGAAAUGCAUUGCAAUUGAAAAAUAAAAAACUUAUAAUCUUGCCCUUUAUUUAAAUUGUCACAAUACCUUGUGUUGAUGGCAACCCUAACAAAAAUUACCUUAUGUAAAAACUGGGCUGCAAUGUGAGAAUAUUGCGCAUUACAUGUUUCUAAAAAAAUCCCAGAGCCUUAGGUUGCCUAUAAGAAGAGUUCUAAAGUAUAGCUACUGGAGUCAAGCAUGUGUUUGUGGGUGAUGGCUUCCAGGUGUCACGAAGGCUGAAUGGACCAGUGCCUUUGUGCAAUGACAUGGUGGCCAUUUCAUGGCACUCCCCAAUGGUCAAUGACUCUCUUCUUCAUCAUUGUUCCACGCCAUUGUGCAGCUUUUUAUGGGCCCAGCUGCCACCUGUCCUCCAUACAGUGUUACCCACAAUGUGAAUGACGCUUUUACUCUGUUAGAGCAACAAAUGACAAGUUUCUGACAAGCUAUUUGAAAUGCGCAACAACUUUUAAAACAAGCCUCUUUCACACGUAAAUCUCACUAAGUUACCAGGACUACCUUUCAAGCAUUUUAACCAUGAAGGCAUGCACUUCAUUCAGGAACUUUUCCCACUUGCUAUGGCAAUGCCUGAGUAGUUGAGACAAGGGAUGGUCCAUCAGGGUGGAAGAUGUCUGUUAUUAUUUUCAGACAUCUUAUAAUAGAUUUUCUCCCUUCACCUCUAAGUGUCUUUCUUCAGAUGGUCGUAACCCUUUUCCUGCUUGUCCCUGCGUUGCUCUUCUUACAAACGUACUGUGGUAGCCGAAUGAAUAUCAAUCUCUGCUCUCAUUCACACAUGGCCCAUUGCAUGAGAAGUUCCCUAAUUUCAGGGACUGUAUCUGUGAAAGAGCCUAUCUGGUUUUGUAUGACAAUAGUAUAUAUAUUAUUUGGCCAAUCUGUUGAAGCAGAUUGACUCUGAAAAUAGGCAGUUUUUUACUUCUUGAGGAGCAAUUAGUUUGCUAUUAAUUUGAUCCAGAACCAGCCGCUCUCCUCAACACCCUCCUUGGGUGGAAGCACAUAGUGCCUUCAUAUUAACUGCUGAGUCAGACAUUUACAGAAAAUACAUUUGUAUAAAUCGCUAAUUGACACAUUGUUUUUUGCAGAAUAUAGCACCCACACUGUGAAUAACCACUUAUCUGUGCAGCACUGAACGAUCAAAGUUUAGAUAUUGUAUUCAUUUCUAAAAUUCUAAAUAGGUUGUAUUGCUAGCCCAAGCCCUCUUGUCACUGAAGUUCCAUCCAAAACCCUGAAAUGCAAAUGGUAGAAGAAAUACAGUGCCUCUGUAUUUGUCUGAACAUAAAUAACACUUUUUAUUUUCCGUAGUGCUGCUUUAAUGCGCUAAUAGCAAUGCGGACGCAGAGACGUUUGUGAAAGUAGUCCCCAGCAAUUAAGGAGUUCCUCAAACUAGCUGGUAUGAAACGUAUAUUUCAUUAUCUCUUUUUUUCCCAACUAGAAGCAUUGUUGAGUCGUUAAGUGGUUUUGUCCUCGAGCGUCAUAGUGAGAUUUGCAGUGUUGAGGAACUGCUAAUUAUGUACUCGUAGAGCACGAUAAAACAUCUCUGAUACUGGAAACCGUGCUGCUUCAAUAGUCCACCAGCAGUGCAAAAUGCCUACCUCUUCAUAUACUUCAUAUCCUAUGAGAGUGUUCUUACUACAACCCAGCUACAUCUACACCCUCUCACUUUUUGCUUAUGUCAGCAAGUGAUUAUCUUGCACUCAUUAUAGCAUUUGUUCCAUUCAGCAGCCAAUUAGAACCGCCCCACCUGCUGCCAUGACUCUUUAAAGUGGAAGCUCCACUCCAGUUUUUUACCUUAUCCGAUCAGGCUUUUUGCAUUGUUGGCAUGUCUCAUGGGCACAUUCGAAAUUGCAGGCCAUUUAUCAAAUGUUUAAAGUGAAGAACUUUCAAAUAGUAAUGAUCGAGUCUCAGUUUAAUACGUAUGCCUUCAUAUGACCCAAAAAAGUAAACAAGACCAUCAGCAAGAGGAUCACCUAUUUCUAUGAAGCUAUUCUUAACGCUUGUCAGCGGUGCCACCAGGCCAGAUUCUGCAGGUAAUCAGAGGCAUUCGUGCAGGCUCCCCAAAGUCCUCCUGCUUAUGCCCCAGAGGGGCUUCCAGCAGCAACCAGCCCCAAGCGGACAGACCUUUAUCCGCCUUUGAUCUGCAGCACUGGUGUACGGAGGAGAGCUCCGGCUCACAUAAGCCAACCAGCUAAUAUACAGUAUGUGGCAUGUGCAACACAUCAAUUGCCAACGAUUCCCUUUUACAAAUAUACAACAGUGUCUUCAUUUCUCCUUAUCCCGGAAGGCCUGCUAAUAAAUGUAUCUUCUAUUACUAUCAUACUCGUAUCAUACUCAUAUGAUAGUAGUAGUCUGCAACAGUCGACUCAGAAUUGGGGAUUGUUGAGUUAACGUAUUUACCAUUUCUUUUUAAUUUCCUAUGGCCCCUGGUACGUGUUACUAAACAGCAUUUAAUAUUAAUCGCAGCAUUGGCUCAAGUAUUAGGGUUUUUGUAAAUCAUAUGAAAUCUCUUUGUCUCAUCAAGAACAUACACAGUUAGUGUGCAGUCAAAAACAAAUAGAAGCUGUAAUAACAAUGAGACUUGUGAAUGGCUCUGAUAUUCAGUUAGAGGAAGAAUUUUAUGCCAUAUGCAACAGUGAAGCUGAUGUUCUGUCCAGAUCUCAGCGGGCCUGUUAGCUUGUUUAGAUGACUGGUCCAGUGAAAUGACCCAAAUUAGGUUGUUAGAAGAAUAGCUUUUAUCUGCCAAAGUGCCCCCAAUAGAGAACCAUGAGAGAGUGCACAGCUUUCAAUCAGAUCAGUAGAAUGUUUUCCAAUAUUUCAUCUUGUUUGUUGGACCAAUUGCUCAAUCAGGGCUUUAAUCCACAGCUAUUUGACCAUGACAUCAGUGCAGGCAAAUAUGGCAUUAAAAAUAAAAAUAUCUCUAUCAUCCAAAGCCCCACGUCGUAUUAAAUGAUUAACAGUUUCUAUGAUGCAAGAAAAGUUGUAAAAUUAUUUUUUAUUGAAAAUAUCAACAAACGUAUAAUCCAUUUCCCACUAAAGUAAGUGUUCUAUUCGAAGCUCAGUUAAGUUCAACUCAUAAGCUCUGCCUUUGGAAGGACAGUCAAGACAUGAAUAAUAAAUUAUGAUGUCCAUAUACGGAAACAAGAAAACAUCAAACUCAAGCACAUGAUUUGCUUUGAAUGUGCCAAAUACAUCGCAAUGAAAUUAGGACUGUAAUUUGAAGUAUCCAGGACCGUGUACUGUAUGGUUUACAUGGUUUGGCAAAGAAAUACUCCUAAAAUGCUGACAUCAGCAGCAAAGCACCCCUAAGAGAGCCAUCGAGCAGAAAAUGAUAAUUAAUUAAUCAUGGAGUGCGAGCCAAACACCGUCUAUUAGCCCUUUGGUAUUUCCUUCCCCUCGGCCUCCACACUUACCAUAGAGAUAAUGCCUCCCCAAUAAGACUUGUUUACUCAGCUGCACUUUGGUCAUCGCACUGACAGCCGGUUGGAAAAUGUCUCCAACUAUGGGGCGCCGUUUGUAAAAUGUCGCACGUUCUAAAAUCCUGCGCAGUUUUGCUACAUUUAGCAUUAUCAUAUGAACAAAAAAGCACGACAAUAUUCAUAUGUCACUUUUUCAAACAUUUAGAGAGAAAUUCAUGUAAAUACAUGCAAUAACCUUUCCAUGGAUAAUGUUUGGCAGUAACACAAAGAUGUUAAAUAAUACAAAUGUUAAAUGUUAUAUCCAAAUGUUAAAUGUAAAUGUUAAGUUAUAUCUAAAUGUAAAUGUUAUAUCUAAAUGUGAAAUGUAAAUCUAAAUGUUAAAUGUAAAUCUAAAUGUAAAUGUUAAAUGUUAUAUCUAAAUGUUAAAUGUAGAGCUAAAUGUUCACUCUACAUAUCAGGCUUGACGACUGAACAUUACAAUAUUUAGGGGCGUUGCGCAACCCCCCCUUGAUGGUCCGGUCAAGGGCGAUGUUCCGCGCCCGUGAACCCCGCCGCAUGACUUCAACGUGGACAGUAUGUGGCCCCCUACCUAAAAUGAGUUUGACACCCCUCUUCUAUAACAAGAGCUAAUUCAUCCGGACUUGCCAGCUUGUCUUGCCGCGGCGUGAAUUACCGUAAAUAUUGUAAUGUUCAGUCGUCAAGCCUGAUAUGUAGUGAGUGAACAUUUAGCUCUACAUUAAACAUUUACAUUUAACAUUUACAGAUAUACAUUUAACAUUUACAUUUAGAUAUAACAUUUACAUAUAGAUUUAACAUUUAGAUAUAACAUUUAGAUUUACAUUUAAAAUUGAUAUUAUUUAACAACUUUGUGUUCCUGUUAAGUUAUUGCAUGAAUUUAAUGGGAAAUUUGAUUUAGGGUAGAUCAAAUAAAAAUAAAAUAGGCGCAAAAAGGGGAGUCCAAUUCAAAUCACCGUAGUAGGAUGGUCAGCGAAUUGCUCCCAGUACAUAACGGACCAUUUGAUUUGCCUCAUUUUCUCUUACCAUUUUCUGAAUGAGCCCAACAGUUUGCUGGUGGCCAGUCGCAGCGCCGGGUUCCUACGCUCACUGAUAUUACAUUUCUGGAGAAGGACAAAUUAGUACCCUCGUAGAUAGUCAUUCGUCUGCAGAACUGUGCACACUGUAUCCCCAGCCAGCUGUGGCAACACGUUAGGGCCCCUCUUACGUGGCUCUCAACAUGACAAUCGACAUUUUUCUCUUCUACUUCUAAUCGAUUUCGAUGGAUCAGAUGGAGCUGAUGGAGCCGAUGAAUCAUUUAUAUCUUUUAAAGUCCUUGGUGUGUUGUAUAUUCCAUUCCAUCCAAUAUCUUGCAAUACCAAAUCUUCAUAGAUUUAUGUGAACUUGUGGUUUUCAUAUGUUGGCUGGUGAUGUAUUGCUCUUCAUUUAACGGCAUACUACUUCAUGACUUGGUUUACAUAUCACUAGUUGGUGUCAUGCUUUCAGUGCUUCAACGAAUUCCAAGAACAUUAGAAGAUCAAAGUUUCAACAGUCGCAAGCCUUUAUUCAUCACUCCAACGUUUGAAAAGAGAUAAGUAUUGACUUUAAUUUCACAAUGAUUAAUGGUAACAGUUAAUUAUUCGAAUUAAUCACUCUAAUUAACAACUUAAUAUAAAGUGUAACUGGAGAGCUCAGACAAUUAAAAUGAAAACUUCCUCUUUAAAGAUGCAUAUGUGCCGGAAUUUGUGUUUUCUUCUCAUUAGAACAUUUUGAUGUACUGUGAUUAGAAUGAUCCUCCAGGCAGAAGAGUCAUCGCCAAAUACACAGUCGAAGUAAAGAUCCAUAAAUUGAUUUCUAACUAUGUGAAAUUUACUGUCCGGCAGGAGCAGGGUGGCAGUGCACACCGACUACUACCAAUAGGUUGAUUUUGUAAGCGCAAGCGUGCCCGUGCAAUUACAUAGCAAGCCCACAAAUUAGUCACUGAAUCCGACUUGAAUCAAAAGGGAAUGCAUCAAAUGCUAUCUCUCCCCAUCCAGACGGAUGUCUACACAGUAAAACGAACUGCAAUACUGUAGUUGCGAGUGUGAUAACAGAUAACCGGCAGCCCCCCAAGGUGAGAGGAAGAUAAUUCUUCUGGGGUGGGAGGCAACUGAACUUCUGUGAUUCCGUAAGCGAUUUUUCUCCCCGACGUACCCUGUAGGUAUCACAACGUGAAGCUGGAUUCUGACACCAUACAGAUUUACGUUUUCAGGCCGUAUUUGCCAUACAUGUGUAGUAUGUUGUUACCCUUUGAGCAGACCGAGAGAGACUGUGUUUGGGUCCAAAGGCUGGGCCGUGUGAUUCAUUUUGAUUCAUGCAGAGGCACAGGAUGUGCUAAAGUCCAAAUAAGAAAGAGCCUCAAACCGCCUUUUCAAAAGUGUUAACAGGGGAGGUUUUUCUCUGGACACAACAGCCUGUGGUCUCCGCUGAUCACUCAGGUGCAGAGCCUGUAUCUAAGAAUUCUUACAUAAAUACAUGUCCCUAUGAAACCGGCAGUGUGUAGAGCCGGCAUGCUGUAACAUCCAUUGUUCCCCCAAAAUGAUAAUCGGUAUACGAUAUAUAAAUAGUUUUAAGAAGUUACACGACUUCCCUCACAGUUAAAUGUGGAUGUGCAUUUUUUUUCAUGCAACUGAUGACUUUUUAAAAAUGUUUUUAAUAUCUGAAAGACAUUAUCUUUAUUACUGCAAAGACAGCAGAGCUCCAUGUGCUUUUAGGCUCACUGUCCCAUGGGGCCUGUGAAAAUUUCCAUUUAGCUACAAACCAUUUUACCCAUGCAGGUCUGCAUAUAUGGGUAUUUUAUAGGCCUGCGGUCUGGCAAGGACAGAGGAAUUAGCCUGAUCCACAUUCAUUAACCUCAUUUUCAUUCUCCAGAGCAACAGUGCUGUAGAAUUAUCUGUCACCACAGCACAAAAAUGAUGAAUUGGUAAUCAGUUGAGAGCUGUCAAGAAAGCCCCAGGAAUGCAAAAUACACACACUUGUUUGCCCUUGCAUUAACCGUUUGUAAUCAAAUCACUAUUUAUCGUUGGUUCAGUAAGACAUAUUUUAUGCCCCAGUGUUGUCAUGUAUGGGCUGGUAGACAACAGACGCUGUCUUUAUUAGAGGUGGGAGGGUCUACUUCAAAUCACUAGAUAGCCUACCCCCCCCCCCCUAAAGCUUAUGAUGUUGGUUGGCUGGGAUUUAUUUUUAAUCAUCCUCUUAAAUUAUUCACCAUUUCCUAAUGAAAGUGGAUUUCGCACAACAACGUAUCAAUAUUUGUAGUUGCUGUGAAAAAUUACAAAUAGUCCCGUAGGUAAGAAAAUUAUAUUUGAUAUUGUACCUCCUAAUGGUCCCUCUGGUUAAGAAUGCAAACGUGAUAAGCGAAAACUAUUAUCUGUGUCUAGAUGUGCAUCCUCAAAAACAAUUAAAAGACUGUCAGACAUCAGGGUCAGACCCCAGCUGGGGUUUAGUGUCCAACCUGACCACCACGUGCCAGAGAAUCCCCAUCCAAUCGAUACUCUGACAGCUGAACUCCACACUGUAUCCUAAUUAGGUGGUCAGUGUGAAUUUCUCUCGCUAACCUAAUUAUGUUUUAAAGUUCAGACACAGUGAGUGGUUGGAUGGAAAGUCAGCCGAUGGGUCGUCUACCAACCUGUUAAUGGCACAUGUUUUAAAAGUUAAUGAGAGCUGGAGUUAAAAGCAGCAUUAGCUAAAGGCUAGGUGGAGUUGAGCUAUGUGGAUUAACUUUUCAUUACCGUCUCAUUAGGUGGGCCUGGGGAUUAGAGAGACUCCUGUAUUAAAUGUACCAUGAAAAUACUCAAAUGGGCCUGAAUAAAGACAGUUUGGAAGUAGGUGGAGUGGAGGAGGUAAAGUAAGUUAUUGACUUUUUAGCCUCUUCCUCUUACCGCCGAGAAUCCCUCCACAGUUAAAUUGACAUCGUUUGCUCUCUAUUAGCCAAUAAGAAGGCUUGUAGGAGCGAGCAAGCCGACCUGCGGAGGAAGUGACUUUGAAAUCUAGAUUGGGUCAUUAAAAGUGGAAUAAGAAGGCCAUUAUAAUUCCAACACUGAAGUUACCAUUUAUUUGCAUUGUGAAGUCCCUGGUGUAGUAGUUAAAUGUCACUUGCCAACUUUAAUGAGAAUAAAGUUAGGGAGUGUGGCCAGAGCUGAUUAGAGUGUUCCCUACAGCAGCUCCUUGUCCAAUGCUGUGUCCAAAGGAAUCAUCAACACUUCACACUGAAAGACUAGUGGACAAUCAGGUUCAGGCCUCCCCCACCAACUACACCCAUCACUCCAACUUAAUUACCCUUAAUGAGAGAAUAGAAGGCCACUGAUCUUCACACCCGCUGUAAGUGAUUUGUAAUGUGGUGUGCCAAUGAGACACGCCAUUAAAAGCAACGCGUGAGCAUCUGUCUGUGUGUGGUGUGCACGCUCUUUCCUCAUGUAUUUCGAACCUUUAUUUGAAAUUAGGUUGCAGGGUAAAAUUCAAAGUGAUGUCAUUAUUUUACCAACUUUCAUUAAAGAGUCACACUGUAGCGUUUUUAUUGGAACUGCUGAUUGACAGGGAAGAACCCUCCGUUGGGAGUUCUUCUUCUGUACAUUUGGUUCUGAAGAAAAAAAGUCAGAUUGGGUCCAUAACGUGCUUCAUCAGGUUGGGUCUCGUUUUACUACCAACAGCUUCAAGUCUGUAAAAGAUAUGUCAUCAGAUCGGAUUACAUUUUAUUAAAAAUGAUCACCUUCUGUUGCCCAGUUGGCUACUGAAUGUCUACUACUGGUGCAGAAAGUGAAAAUAGAAUUUAUUUACCUUAAUUAAUGGUGUUUGAAUCCUGAAAACAUUAUUGUUGGACAUAGUUUCUAGCUUAAUUUCACAUGUGUUUUUAUAAAUAAUUGAUAUAACAUCAUACUGCUGCCUGCUUUGAUGGUGUGUCUCUAUUCAGGUCUUUCCAGGUCAACCGCAUAUUGGAUCGGGUCUAAUCAGGGAAGGCCUGGCCAUCUGUCAGUCCAUGCACUUUCAGGAUGGACUGAUGUGCCUUUUGGGUGGACACAAUUGUCUGUAUUCAUUCAAAAUUUUCAUCUCACCUGCCCAUAAAACAACGUAGAUCGUUUUUUUUUCCUUCUAAAUUGACUUGAGGUGGGCGCAAUCACAGCCAUUGACCCCUCCCCGUUGCCUCUGCCUAUCAGUACAGCACAUCUGCCAGCUCUACAUACGUGCACGUAAAGAACGCUGAGAACCAGAAGACAAUAGAGAGCAGAUAUUAACGUUAACACUGACUGCCAAACAGCCGACUAGGUUACUCAUUUAGUCUCAGCUGGUUAUUUUGCUGCAGCUAAUUCAUGUUAAUUAAAACCUUUCUUGAUUUGCAAGUUACGAUACGCUACGCAUGUACGUUUUAUGAGCACAAGCCUCUUCUCGAAAACAAUGAGAGCAUGAUAUCACAUUUCUCCGUAUCAGUCCCACCCCAAAAUCCAUAAAUGUGUGUGUGUGUGUGUGUGUAUGUGUGUGUGUGUGCGCUCAGCUGAGAGCUUGUGUCCCGCCAACUAGAGAGCGGAGAGUGUCUUUUUCAGCGUUUGACAAGUAUUAGCAAACUCACUGAUGACUGGGGACGUCCUCAUUAGAAUCCGGGUUUUACGGGAAACGCCGUUGGCAGCAACUCGACGACGACGGCAGGGUAGGCAUUAAAAAGUCCACUGAAACGUUGCAUUUUCCAUUUACACCACAAGUAAACAAACAGAUGUUUGAUGAAACGAUAAUUCAAUUUAUUUUGACUACCGGGCAAACUCAUUAAAAUAUGCAAUAGUUAAGAUCAGUGUAACUGUGCCAGAGGAUCGAAUCGGUUAAGCCAAGCUCAAGACUCCUUUGGACUGCUUCCCUCUUUUGAGAAAAAUAACACAAAUGUGUCUUUGUCAGAUGUGUCCAGUUUGCUCAACAUAUCAUAAGAUACACAAAUAACAUGAACCUAAGAAUGCUGGAGAGCAAGAAAGGAGCUAAGACAAUCUGUGUGUGCUGAAUUUGUAUCAAACACAGAAACGGGAUGACGCUGAUUAUGUCAUGGAAAAUAGGUAAAUAUUAAAGUACUGUUGGAGUAAUUCUUAAUGCAAAAUCACCAGAUGAUUAAUUGUUUUUUAAUUAAAGAUGGCAAUAAUCAUUACACCAAUACAUGUUGAUAUUUCCGUCUUUUAGUAUUUUCAGAAGUAUGAAACCAAUAGUAAUUCAACAUUUACGGUAAGACUGAUGAAUAACAUUACAUUUUUAAAGCUUCUUGUUUAAGAAACAGAUGCAACAAGAUAAGAACAAUCAACACUUCAAACUACAUAUUAAAAAGAGUUGUGUUCAACGACAGCGCAGUUCCAGGUUUGAUCCCUUGGUGAUUUCUUUUGCAUUCCUGUGACCUGUCACACGAAAAACAGGAAUAAAAUGUGUGAUAACAACCCUGAGAGGUGUGAAUAUAAUCUGAAUUAAUGAGGCCAUACGAGGAAUAGUCUAGAGUGACAAUGGUUGUAUUCACAUCCUUCGAACAAUUAAAGCAACUCAUUUUGACAUUUGCCUCACGGUUGUGAGAUUAACGUUUAGCGACACCAAGGCUGGCCUCCAUGAUUGUGUCUAUGAUCAAGGGAUUUUACUAAUUUAUUUCUGCUCAUAAACUAAUUUUGGUAUCGACUGAAAAGAGGGGGAAAUGUGACAGGAAGAGCAUUUACUUCACUCAUUAUACCGUUGUGUUCAUUAUGUCAUUAUCCUUGAUACUUAUCUUAUUCGGAAUAAUUAGAUGUUAAGCCUGGUGAGGGAGGCAUGACACCUUCACCUUCGAGAAAGGUUGCCUUCCAUUUAACGGCGUAAUCCUUCCUUUUGCAAAUAGAAGUCGAUUUUUGAAGAUGCUGCUAAGAUGCUGGGCCCUAAAGUCCCCUUACCACUUGCUCAUUGGGGUAGCGCACACUCACUUUGACACAAUCUCAAUGGCAGAUUUCCCUCACUGGCCCAAUUACGGAAAAGCUCCUAGGUAGUCACAUCUAUGUGUUUCCUUCCUGAAGUCAAAUUAAAUGAUCACUCAUGGAACAGAACAAAAUCAGCCCAUUUUUGUGAAACCGCCAAUAAGAAAAUAAUAGUGUACCAUCGCAUUUUGUGAGAGAUAACAAGAGAGCAUAACAGAGGUUGAUUCGUAGUGGGGCAUAUAUUUUCCUACUGUAUUUCUAGAUUCCUGAAAUGUGUGUGUGAUCGAUGGGUGACUGAUACAAAAGCUCCAAAGCUUGGGUGGUUAAUAUUCCAAACUGUGAAUGCCAAUUAUCGAUCUGUAUGCAUGUGGGUAUAUUUAUCAUGCAUUGUAAACCCCUGGGUAAUUAAAUGCAAGUGCUAUGCUUAUGAUAACCAUCAUCAGUGUUUUUUGCAGAGCGGUCAAUCAUUCUAUUAGAGGCCCUUGCAGGAGCUCUGUAUGCUACAAGGCCAGUGGCAAUGCACCGCCUCGGGCUAGCAGGACUAAUUAGAAGGAUGCCCAGUGGAAUUCUAUCACCACCGUGUCCAACCCACCUGGCCCGGUUGGGCUUGUCGUCCCUAUUUUCAUCGUAAUUUCAACAUGCUGUAGGUCUCUUUCUUUUAAUUCCCCUACCUCCCUCUCCAGGGCCAUCCAUCACAUUUGCUUAAUAUGUAGCAUGGAAAUAUGCCACCAUACAAUUCAAUAGGCAGCACUGGAAGGGAAAAUUGUGAAUUGAUGUGAUAUUCUCUGCUAUUAGAAAUGUAUUUUAGGAUAUCUCGCAAAAGAGAGGCCUCUCCAAAUAUUACAUUCACUCCAGAGUAGACAGGUUGAAAGAAAUGCCAAUUGAUCUGUAUAUAACUACAAGUUAUUGAUUGUUUUCACAAUCAAUUAAUGUUUUUUCUUUUCUUUUUCGCUUCAUCAGAGGAUCAUUCAGUCAUUUGCAAUGCUCUUCUUUUUUUGUUGAAGUCUUCAGGUAGUUGGUUUCGAUUGGAAAACUAACCCGGAAAACCUUUUAUGUAGUCUUCAAGACCACAGCUAAAAAUCAAAAUAGUAGAGACUUUAGCCUCUUUGUGACUUCCAUGCAGUUAGCUGCCAUAUCAAAAACUAACCAUUUAGAUUCUAGUUUAAAUGUUUUGUGCCCCAUCUCAAAUAUAUUAUGAGAUGAUCCAAACCAACAUAGGCUGUAAGACAUCUAAUCAAAUGCGAACCUCCAGGCCAAAGGUUUUUAUAUUAAGUCAGUCAAAUUCAAUAAAUAAUAAAAUUAAGGGAUUGCAGAUUUUUCAUUACCCCAAUAUUCAGAAUCUUUAGUCACUGAUAUGAUAUAUUUAAUGUUGAUAUUCUAAAUUCUAAUAUGGAAUUAAUUCCGGUAAUAUAUUUUGAUACAGCGGUCCGAUAUUUAAUACAUUCUGAAAUAAUGCCCAACUUUUCUAAUCAUCAAGAAAUCACUGUAUUCUACACCUCAAAAAUGAUAUCAUGUUAUUGCUGCAUUGAAUGCUUACGCCUCCCAUUUGUUCAAGCCAAUGCUAACACAAUACUCACUUUUGAUACAAUAGACCUGCAGAUAUAAAAACAGACUCAAAAACGUAGAAGCAGACAUAAAUAAAGACACAUAGACCAUAUCAGAGAGAACACAGAAUGUGAGAAGAAAAAGGGAAGGAUGUGAAAUGCUGGAUUUAGACUGUGUGACAUGAGUUGUUUCUGUCAGUGUCAGGACUACAGACAUCCUCUGGGGUUUGUGAAGUGUUCCUACACACUGCCAAAGAUGGAUAAUUGGUUAUUUUAAGUAAUUUUAUGAACAAAGCUCAGCUGCUGCAGCUCAACCUCAAGUAAACAACACACCUUGGGAAUAGCCUCUGUUCAUCCGUCUCGUGUCUGUAGAUUCAUGUCCUGAUGCAUGUUUUUGUCUGCCAGAUUGAAAGUUUAACCAUGCUCAGAUGGAGCUAUUUCGAUUCAGUCUGAUCUAUACGUACAUACGUGCCAGUAAAUAUGUAGAUAAUUACCUCAACAAAUAACUACAAUACACUAAAAUGGGUAGCAAUAUUCGUAUUAUGGUUAAGGUAUGUCCAUGAGCUAAGCACCAACAACUCUACAUAUUGAAAAAGUCUCACUGUACACAUUCAGUAAGUAACUUUUGUGUUUAGAAUGAUCAACAUUAAUAUUGAAUUCAAUAUUUGCCUAAAAACUGCUUCACAUUUGAUGUUAAUGUUACGCACGGUUGCCAUUUGAAAGUUAUCGCAGUCUGCUGAGAGACUCUCGUUUUCAAAAUGUUGGCUAUUAAGGGGAACAAUAUUAACUACAUAAUAAAAAAAAACACGAUACACAAAUCAACACGCUGCUGCAAAUGUAAAAACACAAAAGCAGUUCACUUACCAAAUGUUGUUUCCUAUUUACAGACAAAGCUCAAUCUGAAAUCUCAGUAAAAACUAAGAUCUGUCAGCUAUCUUUCUGUUUGACAAAACUCUGGCCCGGCGAUCAGGUUGCACCUCAGUACCACGGUGUACGUUAUUGCAGAUGUACUCAUAAGCCUCUCCUACAUAGACACAGAAUAAAAUGAUUACACUGCUUAAAAACUUACUAGCCCUUGCAUAAAAUAGCACCACACGACAUGCAUAUACUGUGCAACAAAAACAUGUUUGUUUUUUUUAAUUAUUGACCAAUCAAGCGGAUUUAUUAGGUGUAAAAGACAUCUCAAGCUUAGAGGAGCCGGUCGGGAGGAUACACCAAUAAUCUUCACAAAAGGAUUCCCUCUGGUUUCCUCAUACUGUCCCCCACCUCUUAAUGAGAAGCUGAAUUCCGAACGAACAUCUGCUGGCACAGCUGGUUUCAUCAUCUAGAUCUUUGUAUAAUAGUAUACACAUUGGAUCCACGUCUGAAGAGUUGCAUUGUUCUCUGGUAAUGGCCUUGGCAAAGUUUCCCUUCUGUGAAGCCAGUAUUUCAAGUAAUAACUAACUAGCUAACAGUGAUCUCUUUAUUACCUUGAUGAUUAAUGCAUUAAGGAUUAACUGCGUUUAAAUACGUAAAUCAAAAAUAGGCUGUUGAAGCCUGGGCCUUAUUGAAAUUUGUGUAAGCCCAUUCAUGGCUUUUGUUGCUUUGCUAGAUGAGUGUAAAAACUUACUUUAACACAUUUUAGGCACACGUUGAUCCUUUAACUGUUAGUAUUUUACACCCAGCUAAUUACAGUCAUUAUGAAUAUUUUAGAUGUUUAACAGUAUUAGUGUUAACUUUUUAGUGGGAAAUGUCUUGAAUGGAAAUCAAUAUUAUAUCCGUUUUUUGAACUGAGGUAACAACUAUUUCCAAAUCACAAAGGGGUAACUGCAACAUUUAAGCAAUUCUUUUGUCUUACUAAUAUAAUAAAGCAAUAAGGUACGAAAGGCUGUACUUUAUCGUCCUCAAGUCCCUUAUUGCUUUUAUGGUUACCAGCAAAAUUAUAAAUAGUAAGUAAAUAGCUGCCUUUCAGCACAAACUAGUUGUAGCCAGCAAACGUUGUGUAUCGCAUUUCAGUAGUCCAGAGAAAAAAUAGUCCCCGUUCACGUAAACAGAAUCGGGUCCUGCACCAUCUCAUUCAUUCACAUUGCUGAUGACGUCCACCUUAAUUGUUGCAUUGCUUGCAUUGCCUGAAACCGAUCAUUUGUGGGUUUUCCGGGUGUUUUCCGGCAAUCGCCACCGAGCUAAAAGCUAAAAUGUCAACUGACGGUUGAGAAAAAUGUAUCGCUCAAUAAUUUACUCCGUGACUCACUCUCAACCAAUCAGAAGGCUGGAUUUCAUCUACCCGUAUUAUUAUAAAUAUUGUAAUGCAGGUCAGAUGUAUUUAUUUCAAUUACAGUUGCUCUUAUGCAAUUAAAGCACUUGGCGUUGUGUUACACACUAGGUCUAGGUUUCUUGCAGUGUAAAACGUAUGCUAUUGUUGCCAUCAGCGGGUGGACAAUUUGACAAAUAGUAAAACAAUUGCACAGUGAAUAUAACUUACCAGUAAGUUAUUUAAAAGUCCAGCUGGGAUGCAGUACGACUACACCAAAACACUUACUAAUUAGAACUAGGAGAAAAAAAUGUUAUUUUUGUUCAGUUUAGCACAUGAGAAAAAACACAUUAUCCAAGCAUAAUAAACUAAACAAAAAACGUAUACAAACUCACCUAAUUUAAUGUGUCCGAUGUCUGCCUUGUUUCCGUGCGCUGGUCAGUCUGACCAGUAGCCAUCACAUUUUUAUGCUACAAAAAAAACUUGUUUUAACAGUAUAAUGCCAUUUCUAUACAGAGAAAAGGCAUUAUACUGUUAAAAGUGUUACCUAGAGAGGAAGAAGAGAUAGCACACUGCAUCCUGGUGUUCCUUUUUUCCAAUGUUAGGUCCUGUGUGGAAAUAAGCAGAUGGCUACAUAAAGUCCCAAAGUCUGUGUGUAACACAGUCCAGCCCGUUCAAAUAACCCUACUUAGAUUUCACAACGUGAAUAAAGGAUCAUAUCUUACGCGGGACAUUUGAAAUAACAAAAUUACGCGGGACAUUUGAAAUAACAAAAUUAAAUUAACAUAACAUUAGCUAAAUACGACCAUGCUAACUUUGGCUAACUGAACUUUGCUUAUUGAUUAAAUUCAACUGAGGAAUAAAAUGGGGUGUCAUUGGAAAUGAAAUAACUUGCUGGUAAUGUGGUUUAACAGAAAGAUACAGAUGUUAAAUGUUGUCACUCAAGAGUGACGUUAGCUGGAAGCGCCGCGCAUGCUGGAGACAUACUCUAAAUACCAAGUCACGUUAUCGGUAAAAAUCAAUACAACGUAAAUUCAACACAAAAUCACUGAACACGGUAAUGCUGACAUUGAUAAUAUCCACGUUACCUUGUUCAGUAAGCCACAGGGGCAGGAUGGAUGGUUGGUGGAGCAG